AGUGAACGCUGGCGGUAGGCCUAACACAUGCAAGUCGAACGGCAGCACAGGAGAGCUUGCUCUCUGGGUGGCGAGUGGCGGACGGGUGAGGAAUACAUCGGAAUCUACUCUGUCGUGGGGGAUAACGUAGGGAAACUUACGCUAAUACCGCAUACGACCCACGGGUGAAAGCAGGGGACCUCGGGCCUUGCGCGAUUGAAUGAGCCGAUGUCGGAUUAGCUAGUUGGCGGGGUAAAGGCCCACCAAGGCGACGAUCCGUAGCUGGUCUGAGAGGAUGAUCAGCCACACUGGAACUGAGCCACGGUCCAGACUCCUACGGGAGGCAGCAGUGGGGAAUAUUGGACAAUGGGCGCAAGCCUGAUCCAGCCAUACCGCGUGGGUGAAGAAGGCCUUCGGGUUGUAAAGCCCUUUUGUUGGGAAAGAAAUCCAGCUGGCUAAUACCCGGUUGGGAUGACGGUACCCAAAGAAUAAGCACCGGCUAACUUCGUGCCAGCAGCCGCAGUAA
Molecule: ribosomal RNA, 505 nt
Filed under: uncultured bacterium
Lineage: Bacteria
Description: partial 16S ribosomal RNA
Rfam family: Bacterial small subunit ribosomal RNA
Source: RNAcentral